CCUGUGGGGUUUUUUUUUGUUUUUUUCUCUCACCUCAUCUCGGAUGUAUAUAAAUUAUUAUUUUUUACGGAGGUAAGCUUUCUUUAGAAAGAAAACGGGGCAGAGUUAAGGAAAAAAGAAAAAAGCCCAACCCAAAUAAAAAAGAGGAAAAAGUGUUUUGUCAAAACGGCUGUCGUGGGGCAUCGUUGCCGCGUUUCGUCCGAAGACGGUCAGAAAGGGUUUCUGUUUACUCAUACCCCACAAACACACUCUCUCUCUCUCGACUGUUCUACUUCUUAGCAGCGUGGACCUUAGAAAUGCUCCGAAAACCUUUGCAGAGAAAACAGUUUUUUUAGUAAAGAGGAUGAACAAAAGAAAAAGGACCUUUGUCCACCUGCUUCGCUUAGCUCUCUCAAGUAAAUUAUCAUUGCUCGUGGGAGAGGCCAUUGCCAUAGGUUCCUCCACAAGAAGAGUUGAAGAUGGUGCAACAUCAGAUCCCAUUACCUUACUUCGAAUGGAAUUUUAGCCCAUGAAUUUUAAUUUUCUAGAGUUUGUGGCCUUUUUUCCUUACUAGAUUCCGCAUAUAUUUUCUUCUUUAUGCCCCCCUCUGAAGUUGAAUAUGUGUGUGAGUGGUGCAGGCAAUACUCUUCUGUCAAUUGUGGUCACUUCAUAUAGUUGAAUCAUUUAUUGUGAUAUCCUUUGGCCCAGUCUGGUUUCUAGGAUUCAUCUUGGCUAUCUAACAUCCUGAAAUCAUUUUAUAAUAUCUUCCACGGUUUACCAAGGAUUUACCUGCAUCUUUUUCCAUGUACUUAUUUUAGCUGUGAAAGUAUUUGUUCAUUUAUUUAUUUUUCCGUCAGUUAAAAAUCUUUUAGUUAAUAUAACUCUGACUUUGCAAGGGGUCAAAAAGGAGACAGUCAAGACAUUAUUGGAUAGGAGAAAAUUUGAAAAUCCUUUUAUUAGCGAAUUUGAUUUAUAAAAUGUAUUCCAUUUCACAAUUCUAGGGUAGAACUAAUUGUAAUGAAAUUUGACAAGAAAAUAGACAGCUAUAAGGCAAGUCAGGGAUGACGGAGAAUUAGUUUUUUUGUUUAAGGUUAUUAUUGAUUGUUAUAAAAUGCUCAAUAUUCAGUAGCACUUCAAAAUAGUCAUCCUGCUCUCCUUCCUUCCCUUGUUUUUUUUUUUAAAAAAAUUAGAAAGGAGUGCAUGAUGACUAUUUUGGAGUGCCAAUAACAGCUCCCAUAUUAAGUAUAAAUUUUCAUCUCAUGGAUAAAAAGACGUGAUGAUCAUUGAUCUGGUAGGUAGUUUGGGAUCACGAACAAUGAUACUAACUGAAAAAGUAAACUUAGCUAUGAAUUCCACCCAACAGAUAAAGAUAUGGUGAUAAGUUAGGGAUCAUUGACCAGUCUGGCUAUAGAAUUAUAAACUUUUAUUACUGGAGUAUUUUCUGGUGGUUUGGUGCUUGAAGCUUCAUGUUCCUUUCAAUUAUUGAAGUAUAUAAUGAAAUAUCAUUUCCUUCCACAAAAUUCAUGCCGAUUUUCUGGUGAAAGUUUGAAUAUCGUUUGUCACUCCAGAAAAUUAAUAGGGUUGUACUGUACAUAUUCAUACCCAUUUUAAGAGGGAGCCUGAGGUUGGUUUAGAAUGGACGUAAUGCCAUUAUGGCUAGGUGAAUAGAGAUCAAUUGACUAAUGACAAAGAAAGUUCCAUUCUCAGUGCUCCAUAAGCUGUAUGAUCCCAUUUGUGUAUUGAUGUUGUUUGUUGAAUAUCAUUUUGUCUUUCCAGAAAACAAGUUAACUAUUUUGAAAAAGAUUUUAUUUCUUAUAAUACCUGAUACUGAUGACACUCUCUUUGCAUAGAUUUAUCUAAAUCUAGAUUGUUUAUGACACCUUAAAAUUGGAUCACAUAACUAAAAUAUGUGGCUUUUGCCUUCAUUAGGUGUUUGAUCAACAGGGAAAUUGAUUGAAUUGUCUGCAACAUAUGAUGAUAAGUAUUAAAAUCAUCAUCAUCAUAAUCACCUUGGUGAAUUAAGUGUGUAGGCAGUCUUGAUGAUUUUAUAUUAUGACUAAUUAAGAUGUCAUCACUGAAAUGAUUUCCAUGAAUAUUGCUGACAUGGAAGUACCUUGUACAGCUAUACAAUUGAUAUGCGUUGUACCAAGUGAUUUGUUAAUGGGUACCUUAAGUUAUAUCCUUUUCUCAUUUCCUUGGAUGAAAAUGAUGAUGGCAAUGAGAUGGUUCCCAUUGAAAAUGUUGGUGUGAAUGAACUACUGUUGAUGCUACAGUAGCUAUAUUUACUUGAUGAGGGUUCCAUCUUGUGAUAAUGCUAUCGACCUUAGUCAAGAAUGAUGUUGAUGGUGCCAUGUGAGCAUCUAGUACAAUUCUGGUGUUACUUGUGACAUUAUUUUUCAGUGUCAAUUAGACGAUUCCGUUGUCUAUGACAUGGGAACGUGAUGUGAUGAUCUUAUGUCCUUUUCCCCGUUGGUGGAUGGUAAAGUUUGGUGAUAGACAUCAGACCCAAAAAAAAAAAGAGGCUUGGUGACAGACAAGAACAUCCCGAUAAAUCGUGUCAAAUGUACAAAGAAUUACACAUUUCAAUUAUGAUGGGGUUGAUUUUCAUGAUUA
Molecule: long non-coding RNA, 2592 nt
Organism: Prunus persica (peach)
Lineage: Eukaryota; Viridiplantae; Streptophyta; Magnoliopsida; Rosales; Rosaceae
Exons: 2
Source: RefSeq, a predicted model, not a curated record